GAGCCGGACCCCUCGGGAGGCCCCCGCGCAGGCCCGACCCCGCCCCAGCGCGCAGCCCGCGCUGCCAUUGGCGCCGCGCGCAGCCCCGCUGAACUGCCGGGGAGAGGCGGGGGAGACGCGCGCCGACCCGCGAGCGGGGGCCGGAGCUGGGGGCUUAGGGCGGCAGGUAGCGAGGCCGAGCCCCUCUCUCCAGGACGCCCUAUUUAAGCCAGGGUGUCAGUUGCUGACGAAUCAGCUUAAAACCCCCCCAAAGUGAGCAAACUCCCGCGCCCUUGGCGUUUGCUGGGCGGAAACUCCUUCGCCUUAACCAAGCGCGGGUUCCGUGUUCCUGAACUGAGACCACGGGCACGUCGGCUCUUUUCAGAAGGUCAAGCGGCUAAUCCUCGAAGUCAUCCGGCAUAGCCAGAGUCUGUUUUUUCCCCCGUCCGAAAUGGCAAUUGUAACAGCCACAGGGCUCCCAGGAGACGUGGGUGCAAUAACGAGGUGACAUUUUCUCCAGGUUCUAAGGACAGCUCACCACGGCCCCUCUGCAAGAAUUCUUGGGGCGCCUGGGUGGCUCAGUCAGUUGAGCGUCCAACUUGCGACUUCUGCUCACGUCACGAUCUCCCGGUUCAUGAGUUCGAGCCCCGCGUGGGGCUCUGGGCUGUCAGCGCAAAGCCUGCUUCGGAUCCUCUGUCUCCCUCUCUCUCUCUCUCUCUCUCUCUCUCUCUCUCUCUCUCUCUGCCUCUCGCCACUCAUGCUCUCUCUCUCUCAAAAGUAAAUAAACAUUACAAAAAGUUAAAGAAGAAGUGAGGAUUUCUUUCCACCAUGUGAGGUUACAAGAAGUCGGUGGGAGCUACCAGUCUGCGGCCUGGAAAAGGGCCCUCACUAGACACGGGAUCCGUCUGUGGACCUCCCUGCCUUCAGAACUGUGAGAAAUCAGUCUGUUGUUGCCGUCACCCAGUCUACGGUAACCCGCUGCAGCAGCCUGACCUGUAGCCCCAUGUGCACAAUGAGGAAGUCAGUCGUUUUGCCCAGAACAGGGCAGGACUUCCAGCUCAAGGUCAGUGAUUUUUCCACUGUGUCACGGGAUGGACCACAAGGUGGUACUUGAUCAAACAGAAAAUACGUCCUUGGAACUGGCCUCCUGGUCUCAACCUAGAUUCGGGACUUCACUUCAUGGCAAGCACCGGCCCUUUUCCUCUGGAACAGAUUUACCGCUUCGAUAAUUUAGACCUGACUUUCAGGAAGAGGCCAAAUAGGUUUCCCUCCCCUGAUCUGUGGGGAGUGGCUACACAGGGGCCCAUCUGGAAAGAGUUCUGGGAUCAAUUAGCCAGGUCUGCCAAGGGCAAGGCAGGGGGAGAGUUAAUCCUAUAUGCUAAAUAUUUGCCCAAACUAGUAAAGAGGUGGGGUAGGUGACAAACUGUAAAGAUUAGCUUUGCAGAAAAGCUUGGGAGGGGAAGAGAUUCCAGAGAAGUCUGGUUUCUGUCUCCUGGCUGAGCAGUCUGGAGGAGUGUGACUGCCGAUUGAGAAUAGUUAUGCCUAUUCAGGGA
Molecule: long non-coding RNA, 1532 nt
Organism: Panthera uncia (snow leopard)
Lineage: Eukaryota; Metazoa; Chordata; Mammalia; Carnivora; Felidae
Exons: 3
Source: RefSeq, a predicted model, not a curated record